RNAcentral lists this long non-coding RNA (11164 nucleotides) under Phaseolus vulgaris (common bean). RNAcentral describes it as "long non-coding RNA (PVUL_LNC001386)". The record is from RNAcentral. Lineage: Eukaryota; Viridiplantae; Streptophyta; Magnoliopsida; Fabales; Fabaceae.
GGGGAUGUUUUAUUUAAUAAGCCUUACUGAAAAAGAAUGUCUCGAGAACCCUGUUGAGGAGGGACUUGACCCGAUUAUCAAAGGAAAGAUUGCACCAGAUUGUUGGCAAGUGUUUGUAGAUAUGAUGGUAACUUGCUUGAAUUAUGAACCAGAUGAGCGACCAACAAUUGGUGAAGAGGAGGUGCAACUUGAGCAUGCUCUAUCCAUGCAGGAACAAGCUGAUAUCACAAACUCCAACUCUGAGUAUACCUUACUGUCCAAAACCAUUAUUUCCCUGGGAGUGAAACAAUUUGAUACUGAAAAAAUUCUCUGAAAUUGAGUUAGUGUUUUUAGUCAAAACAGUUAGAGUAAGCUGAAAUAUUAGUUUAGAACGUGUAGCUUUUGCUGUGAUACAUGCUUCCAGCAUUUUCUAUUUUUAUGUCAUAGAAUUCAAUAAUAUGUUAUAAUUAUUUAGAAUUGUUAAAUGUUGUAAUAUCGAACAUGGGUUGUCAAAAUAGGUUUUUCGUUUUAACAGAGGCUCUCAUCUAUAAUCGUGUAUUAGUAACUAAUUAGUAAUGAUAGAAACUCCUUGCUGAUUCAGGCUUUAAAUUGUUCUAUCUACUGUCUCUGUUUUAGCCUAGUUGGAAUUACUUGCCACCAACACUUUCCCCUUAUACUAACUUUUAAGUAUUAAAGUAAAUGCUUGAUCUUAAAAAAGGCAUCUGGUCGAACCAACAUUAUUUACAGCUGAUCUUUUCAAUUUCAAAAAUCUUGAGUGAAAUUUAAUAACUAUAUUAACAACAGAAAAGUCAGUUUGUAACAUGUCCCAGUAGCAUACAUCUUAAAAAUGUGUGACCAUUAAAUAAAGUACUUAAACACUUGUCUUUAGUUUUGAUUUUUUUAAUGGAUAAAAGGAUAUGUAUUUAAAAUAUUAACAGUCUUACCUUGGAAGUACCCCAAUUUGCUUAACUGUGAAAAUUGAAGGGAAGUAGAGGUGAAAGAUGCUUCAAGUAUGAACCUGAUAAAUGGACCAACUUUGAGUGAAUUAGAAGUGGAACUUCAGCAUGAUCUGUAGCAGGAACAAACUGAUAUCACAAACACCAAUGCUGAUGAUUAUAAACCCCCAAAAAAAAAACUUAUUUUUCAAAACCAUUAUUCACCCAAAACUGGGAAUUUGAGCAUGCUCUGCCAUUGCACCAACAGGAUUGUUAUCUUUGAGAUUUCCUAUUAUUUAUUUCUAACAUUUGGUACCUUCCUUUUGAUUGGUCCUUUUUGAUGAGAUUCUGUAUAUUCUCCUUACUGUUUUACAUCAGUUUUUCCUUGCUUAUAACACCACCAUUGUAUGAAUCUAUAUAGUAAGACAAAGUAUUAUAAUAUAAUUCUUUGAACCAAAAAAGUUAGCUAUGUGGAAAUAAACACUCACUCUAUUUAGGCUCAAUUUGAAUCCUCCCACUUUAUGAGAACUUCUAAGAUAAAUUAUUUUAGUUCUAGAAAAGUUUACUUAUAUAAGUUGAUUUUAACUUUGAUUUAGUUUACCUUCUUAAUUUAUUAAUUAAUUGUAUUCUUUUUUCCUAUAAAUAACUUUUGGGGUAUAAUCUUUAUCUGUCUUUUUUAUAAGAAAAAAGGAAGAAAAAAACUACCUGUAACACAAUGUUUCCACAAAGGCAUUGGGAAUUGGCUCAACAGCAAUCCAUUCCCCAUCUUUCCAAUUCUCAACCACAUGUUUGGUGGCUCUUCCACUAUUUGUGUAGAGCUUGCACCUUCCAUUUGGAUCCUUAGUGUCGUUUAUCUUUUCAUCCUAAGGCAUGCCAUGGAAUUCUUUUGAAAAUAUUCCGUGUAGCAUCCACUAUAUCCUUAGAAACUCUAUGGUUGAUAACCUAGCAAGUUUAUCACAGUUUCAGAUUAACCAAAUAUACAUACAAGCACACAAAAUCAAGGCCAAACAUCUAAGACUAUAUAAAAUGUGUAGUAUUUCUCAUAAGAAACAAUUUAUUGGCCACAGCAAGUUAUAUAUAUAUCAGACAACACCAAAGAUAUCCAUCACGUGUGUUCAACCAAUAUAGUGGCACAUAUGCUGUUAGGAACUAUAGUAACAGAAAAAUGCUAAAUGAUUACACACAUAUUUAUAGGUAGAUUGGAUGCCACUGCAAAAGAAAAAACAAACAAAUAUAACCAUUUGAAGUAAUAAAAAAUUGUAUUGCAUUAUAAAACAAAAUUUACAAGAGAGUCUUUAAAAUAAUAUAGUAUAAUAGAACCAUUGGAAGUGGAGAUUUCUGUCGUUGAUGGGAAGAAUAUGUAUAAUUAAAUCAGUUUUAACCGCUAUUCCUCUAUUCUCUUUAUCCUAUUUUAAAUCCUCGGAGUCGGUUUAGGCUUGGGGAAGGAUAGCAGGUAAAUGUCUUGGGUAAGUUGGGAGAAUAUGUGUAAACAGUGGAGGCAGACGGUUUGGGAGUUAAAGAUAUAAGAAAGUUCAAUGGAGUUGUUCUAACUAAAUGGAAGUGGCGAUUUGUAGGUGAAGAAAAAGGGUUGUGGAAGAAUAACCUAGUAUCUAAAUACGACCCCUUUUGAAAAAUCAAUCCAGGUGGUGGAGAGAUUUAUCUAAACUAUGUGACCAGGGGGAGGAGAAGGGUGGUUCUAAGAAGCUCUGGAAUGGAAAGUGAGUUGUGGAGACAAAGUUAGAUUCUGGGAGGAUGUUUGGGUGGGCGGAAAUAAACUUAGUUCUGUGUAUCCUAGGUUGUUCACCCUUGGAAAGGAUCAGGGGCUAACAGUGAGCGAGGUGGGCGUAUGGGAAGACUCGGCUUGGAUCUGGAAACUAAGAUGGAGGAGGGUUAGGUUUGAAUAGGAAGUUGUGCAAGAAGCGGAAAUGCUUUGGUCUUUGUCAGGGGGCACUCUGAAUAGGGAGGCAAAGGACACACACUAGUGUGGAGAGGGAAUGCAAUAGGAAGAGUUUUCUGUGAAGUAAGCUUAUGAACGUUUUUCUAACUCUUACAUAAGUCCUCCUAACGGGCUGUUCAAACAGUUGUGGCAAUCUAAAGCAAUGCUCAAAGUCUGGACAACUGCUUGGAGGGUUCUGUUAGAUAGAAUUCCAACUCGUUCCAGCUUAGUCAGGAGAGGAGUUUUGGUUAAUUCAACUAGUUGUGCUCUUUGCCAUGUUGUUCAACAUCUAUUUAUAGAGUGUCCCAUAGGACAAAUAGUGUGGUCUCUCUGCUUUAAGUGGGUAGGUAUCCUGUUCUUACAACAUAAGUUACUUCGAGAACUUCCCCUUAGAAGAGUUGAGUUCAAAGCAGAACUUGGUCUGGAAAAUUAUGUGGGGGACAAUGGUGAGACGACUAUGAGAACAAAGAAACUCUAUUAUUUUUAAGAAGGGUUCCUGAUGCGGAAGAAAUCUUUCAUAUGACACAGCUUAAUUCAUGGUUGUGGUUUGAAACAUAAGACUCGCUCUUUCAAUUAUUCUUUCUCGGAUUGGCCUAAAUCUGAUCCUAUCCAUCAAAAGUCAAAUGUAAAAGGAGGGGAAGCCUGUUUGGGAGUGCAGUCAGUCGGCUAAAUGAAGUUUGAGAUGGGAGGACAAGGCAGAGGAAGGAAUAGUAGAGAUAGUGCAGAUCAUCAAGCAGGGAGAUGUAGGACCUGCUCUUGCUCUGAGCAGUAUAGAAAGGUAUCUUGAUCAGGAGGACUUGGAAGAUGGCUUGCUGUGAGGUGCUCUAGUGAAGGCAAAGGUGUUGUACUUGCCAAAACCGUUUUCGGAGCUUUAUUGGAGGUGUAGCAGAGAGUGUAUGACAGCUGUAAGGAGAUACAGCAGCACCGUUUAUGCAGUAGAGGAAUUGUUGUAGACGCUUUGGAAAGGUCACCUUGUAGCUUCUUGGUGGUGCUGCAGGACAGAUUCUAGGGAGAGCGCUGUAAUGGUAUCUGUGCUAGUGCUAGAGGUAGUCAAAGAGAUGCAUUUAUAGAAGGAAGUGUGAAGAGCAAACAAUGUUUUAUAGGGUACUUGAAAAUGUGUGUUCUGGUAUAAUCUGCAUAUUUAUGCAAUGAGGCAUUGCUUGAAUAUGCUUGCGUCAUGCAGCAUGCUAGUCUUGUUCUUAUGGACGCUUGUGGUAUUCUUAAGUGCCUUGCUAAUGCGAAUCUUAGGUAGCAGCUGGUGCAGUUUUGUAUAUUUGGCAUUGUGGAUCCCUGAUUAUGGUGCUUAAGCCAAGGCUGAGGCUAUGUUGUUAACCUGUAAGGGCCAAGCCAGCAGGUUCUGUUCUGGUUUUUUGCUUUCUAUGCCUAUUUCUGUUUUAUGCAGCAAAAGGAACCUUGUGAGCACAUGGGAAGUAGUACAAAUAGCUAUGGCUAGAGAGGAGGUGGCUCAAGACUUCACCAGCAUAGACUGCGGAGCUCAAGCAGAUGUGAGAUAUACUGAAAUAUCCACAUACAUAGAUUCUUUUCAGAUGCAAAUUUGUUAACUGGUGUGAAGAUUCUUGGAAAAUUGGAAGUUCUUAUAAGGAAGUGAAGAGCUCGGUUUCUGAAGCAUGAUUGCAAAGUGUUGUGUCAUAGAAUCAAAUCACGGUGGUUUGAUAGCUGCAGCAGGAUGGAUAAAAAAACCUUUGGCUUUUGCUUUUGAACCUCGUCAAUACCUCUGUUGAGGGACUUUUGAGGUCUUGAAAUCACAUCAGCAGCAUAUAGGGAGUUACAUCAGAAGGGUGUAUGGCUGUUCUUAUGUAGGGGAUGUGGCCAAUCAAUUCUGCAGGUGCUGUUUUGGUGUAGGGUAAUCGGUGUAUGGCUGCUCUUAGACAAAGGAUGUGGCCAAUUCUGCAGGUGCUGGCUUCAUGCAGGUUAAUCUGAAGCAGGGGGUUUUCACCAAUUCUGCAGAUGGGAAGGACUCUGUGAUGUGGUCUUUUGGCUUUAAGUUUAGGGUUUAGGCUUUAAUUUAUUUAUUUUUUGAGUCAGUGUAAUUUACAAAAUAUAGAACACAUAGUUACUUAUUAUAAAUAGAAUUCAGAUUUAUAUGAACAAGUUGAAUUUUUUUUACUAAAAAAUGUCAAUUUUAAAGAAUUUAUUUUUUAUUUUUAUAAUUAUAAUAAAAAUUUAUAUAAUAAAUUUAAAUUAUUAAAAAAUCAUUUUAUUUACUUUUUAAAAUUUUGUUGAAACCGUGUUAAAAUUUUCAUAAAUAUAAAAAACAAUGUCUUUUGAAAUGGAGAUUUUAACCACUCGUGUUUUAUAAGUGUUGUGUGUUCACUGUCGGAAACAAGGACACGUAAGAAGAAAACGCCGCCUUAUUAAAAACUGCAGGAGAUCUUAUUUGGGGAAGAUUCCAACCCAACCUUAAAUAUGCAUGACAAGCCAAACGAUUGAGGAGCAACAUAGUUCAAUGUGUAUGGUAAGUGACAAGUGAGAACUACUUAAGCAAGAAGGUGUCACAAAUUGGAACUAUGUUUCUGAAUUGUGUGGGCAUGUGUUGUUCGAAGCCCACAACAAAUACAACUUCAUCUCAGAGACAGUUUCCAACGUUGAUAGAAGAGCUGUGCCAUCAAUUUUCUCUCUCCGAUCUUAGGAAAGCCAUCAAUAACUUUGAUCAGAAGAGAGUAAUAGGAAGUGGAUUUUUUAGUGAAGUAUAUUAAGGGUGUCUGCAGCAUGAUGGUGCUUCUGAUUACACGGUCGCAAUAAAGCGAUUUCAUUAUCAAGGAUGGGAAGCGUUCAACAAGGAAAUCGAAUUGCUAUGCCAGCUUCGUCACCCUAGAUGUGUUUCUCUUAUAGGAUUCUGCAACCACCAAAAUGAGAAGAUUCUUGUAUACGAGUACAUGUCCAAUGGAUCUCUAGAUAAACACCUUCAAGAUGGUGAACUAUCAUGGAAGAAGAGGCUAGAGAUCUGCAUAGGAGUAGCACGUGGACUACACUACCUUCACACUGGUGCCAAGCGUUCCAUCUUUCACUGUAUCCUCGGUCCUAGUACCAUCCUUUUGGAUGACCAAAUGGAGCCAAAACUCGCUGGUUUCGGUGUUAGCAUGCAGGGAUCACGUUUUAUGUCAAAGCAGAAGCAAAUCAAUGUAGAUCGUGUUUUGGGUAAUUUUUGUUUUGUUGUAUGAGCUCACUCACUGCAAUGAAUUUUUGUGGAUCAAACUAAGCUAAUACUCUUUGUUAUAGGUACUUUUGGCUACCCGGCUACGGACUAUGUCAUGGAUGGUACCAUCACAGCUAAAUGGGAUGUUUUCUUAUUUGGUUUGCUUCUACUAAAAGUUGUGUGCAGGAGCAUAUUUUAUUUAAUAACCCUGACUGAAAAAGAAUGUCUGGAGAAUCCUGUUAAGGAGGGAAUUGAUCCGAUUAUCAAAGGAAAGAUUGCACCAGAUUGUUGGCAAGUGUUUGUAGAUGUGAUGGUAACUUGCUUGAAGUAUGACCCAGAUGAGAGACCAACAAUUGGUGAAGUGGAGGUUCAACUUGAGCAUGCAGGAACAAGCUGAUAUUACAAACUCCAACUCUGAGUAUACCUUACUGUCCAAAACCAUUAUUUCCAUGGGAGUGAAACAAUUUCAUACUGAAGAAAUGUAAGUGACCAGAUCACUGAAAUUGAGUUUAGUGUUUUUAGUCAAAACAGUUAGUAAUCUGAAAUUUGUUUAGAAUUUAGAUACUUGUGUAGCUUUUGCAGUGAUACAUGCAUCCAGCAUUUUCUAUUUUUAUGUCAUAGAAUUCAAUAAUAUGUUAUAAUUAUUAAAUGUUAUAAUAUCGAACAUGGGUUGUCAAAAUAGUUUUUUCGUUUUAACAGAGGCUGUCAUCAAUAAUCGUGUAUUAGUAACUAGUAAUGAUAAAAAUUCCUUCCUGUUUGAGACUUUAAACUGUUCUCUGUACUGUCUCUGUGUUAGCCUAGUUGGAAUUACGUGCCAAUAUUUUCCCCUUACACUAACUUUAAGUAUUAAAGUAGAAUAAUUGAAGUGGGGAGAGGAAGAAUAAUUGAAGAGAGAGAUAAUGGGGACAGAGGGAGAGAGAUGUUACAAAUAGUCUUAGAGAGAGAAAAACAAGCUCAAAUUGAUUUUAUGUAUUGAUUUGAUUCUCACAUGCUUGAUCUUUUUUAAGGCAUCUGGUCGAACCAACAUUAUUUACAGCUGAUCUUUUCAAUUUCAAAAAUCUUGAGUGAAAUUUAAUAACUAUAUUAACAACAGAAAAGUCAAUUUGUAACAUGUCCCAGUAGCAUACAUCUUAAACAUGUGUGACCAUUAAAUAAAGUACUUAAACACUUGUCUUUAGUUUUGAUUUUUUUAAUGGAUAAAAUGAUAUGUAUUUAAAAUAUUAACAGUCUUGGAAGUAGAGGUGAAAGAUGCUUCAAUUCAAGUAUGAACCUGAUAAAUGACCAACUAUGAGUGAAGUAGAGGUGGAACUUCAGCAUGAUCUGUAGCAGGAACAAACUAAUUUCACAAACACCAAUGCUGAUGAUUAUAAACCCUAAAAAAAAGCUUAUUGCUCAAAACCAUUAUUCUCCCAAAACUGGGAAUUUAAGCAUCCUCUCCUAUUGCACCAACAGGAUUGUUAUCUGUGAGAUUUCUACUAUUUAUUUCUAACAUUUGGUACCUUCCUUUUGAUUGGCCUUUUGAUGAGAUUCUGUAUAUUCUCCUUACUGUUUUACAUCAGUUUUUUUGUUGCUUAUAACGCCACUAUUGUAUGAAUCUAUACAGUAAGACAAGUUAUGUUAUUUAAGGUUUAAACAUUUUAAGAGUUAGAUGGCUGCUGUUUGACUCAACAUAAGCAUAAAGUAUUUAGUUGAUAAACAAUCGUGAAAUUUAUCUAAUGUUAUUAUAUGUAUCAAGAUGGACUUUCGUUGUUGGAUAAAAAUAAAAGUUUUAACAACUCACUUCCCUAUUCCCACAGAAAAGUAGUUAUUUUCUGUCUGAUUUGCAAACUCUACUUUGCAACAGGUUCAUCUAGUUUCUUCAAGCAGUCAAUAUAUCUGUCUCAACUAUUACUGAAGGGAACUUUGUUUUAGUUAGCUUUAAUUGUAUACUUUAGUUAGCCUUAAUAACAAAGAAGAAAGCAUAUUGUGAUAUGUUUUCCAAAUCUGCACAACAAAACAUAUUUCAUCAUAUGCAUUUGAUUUUUGGUUCACCAGAAUGCCAAGAUUUCACCUUAUACUAAUGUUCGGUCUGAAAAUUAAAAAGUCUGAACAAUAACUAUUUCUGUCAAGAUCCAAUUUAUCAUUUGAUUUAGUCACAUGCACAGAAAUAGGAAGAUUUGAAUAAAAAGAAAACAUGAAAUGAUUGCAGAAAUGGGCUCAGGGAGUUAAGUCAAAGAGAGUUCUAGGCGAUCCCAAAUAAGUUAACGCCCCUACGACACUUUGCAGGGACAACAAGCCAAAAAAUUGUAAUUAAACCAAAGCGAGUGACUACAAAAGGCAAGGGAGUUAACCAAAUCUAAACAAACACUUGUGAACAAAAGUUGUUAUAUAAAUAGAAUGCUUAUUGAAGGUUUAUUAAGAGUAUUUAGUAGUGUAUACAUUUGACUUUUGUAUUUGUAACCUACAUAGAGUUCUAAUAAUUAUUUUUAGUCUAUAAAAUAUCUUUGAACUUGGCAUCAAAAAGCUGCAAAACUUACAUUCAAAACCACAUUUUCACUUUGCCAUUCAUUUAACAUCUCCAACAUUUGUUAAAUGUUGGAGAUCAGUGUGAUCAGUGAUCAUUUGUAUAAUAUUAUACAAAUGGGUGAAGUAGAGGUGCUACUUGAGCAUGCCCUUGCAUUGCAGAAACAAGCAGAUAUCACAAACACCAAUACUGAUGAUUAUACUUUACUGUCCAAAACCAUUAUUCCCCAUCCUGCAACUAAAAUAUAGGUUUGUGUUUUGAAUCAAAAUAGUCAGAGUAAGCUUUUGCAGUGACUUUUAAUUUGAGAUACUUGUACCUUUUAUUGUGAUAUCACUUUCUAGCAUUUUAGUUUUACCAGAGACUGUCAUAGAAUCGUUGCAAUGAUCCUCUACUGGUGUAAAAUUGAAAGAAAUGCAGGAAAUUUAAUAAGAACAGAGUAAUGAUAAAACUCCCCUGAUGGAGUCUAUAUGAUUUGCUCUUCCUCUUGUAGAUGCCCUCACUUCCAAACUAACCACUGAUACAUGCAACACAAUCAUAUAGAUGAACUAUGCUACUAAAGAUUUAAUAAAACAUUUGGAGGGUUAGAUGAGUGGGAUGAGAUUCAACCUCAACACAAAAAUUAUUUAUUUGAUAAACCCAUCAUCAAUCUUAUCUAAUAUUGUUAAAAGCUAAAUUUUAAAAGCUCAUCCCCCCUGCCCUGCGAAAUGUGAUUAUGUUGGAACUGGAGACAAUCACAGAAGACAGUGAUAUUGAAGAAGUGGAACUGGAAAUCAUCACAGAAGACAGUGAUAGUGAAGAAAUGUAACGAAUUCACACCUAAUUUAAGCUGAAAUUAAGUUUAGUGUUUUUGAAUCAAAACAGUGACAUCUGCAGAGAUCAAGUUUAAUUGAGAUACCUGUACCUUUUAUUGUGAUCUCUGUUUCUAACAUUAUCAUCUUACCGGAAGCUGUCAUGGCAAUAAUCUGGUACUAGUAUAAAUUUGAAAGAAUUGCCAACAAAAUCAAUAAUGAUAGCACUCCCUUGCUUCAGUCUGUAAUUUUUGCUCUUCUUUUUCUAGGAACCCUCACCACAUAACCAGUCACUGAUAUAUAAAGCAAAAUCAUACAGAUUGCAGCAGAGUGUAGGGAACUCUCUAUAGAUACCAUGAUAAAUUGCUUUUAAGUACGGAUCGGAUAAGCCACCAACAGUAUGUCAAGUAGAGGUGCAACUUGACCAAUUGUGAUUAUACUUUAUUGUCCAUAACCGUUACCUGAAAAAGUGUACAACUGGGUACAAUGAAGGGGUAAAAACGGCAAUCAAAGAAAUAGUAUUUUGACUGAUACCUUUAAUUUUUCCCUUGCCAUUAUUAGAGUAGAUGAAUCUACCAAACCAUAUCUAGGACCAUAUUGGAUGAAUUUCUGUAUAAAUAUUUCUAGAAAAAAAAAAUCUUUGAACUAGCAGUAGUUUUUUCACAUCUUGACUAAGUCAGAGUUUUAUAUGCAGGCCUUGGAUCUUAUUUGGGGAAGAUUCCAACCCAACCUUAAUAUGCUUCACAAGCCAAACAAUUGAGGAGCAACAUAGUUCAAUGUGUAUGGUAAGUGACAAGUGAGAUCUACUUAAGCAAGCAAGGUGUCACAAAUUGGAACUAUGUUUCUGAAUUGUUUGGGCAUGUGUUGUUCGAAGCCCACAACAAAUACAACUUCAUCUCAGAGACAGUUUCCAACGUUGAUAGAAGAGCUGUGCCAUCAAUUUUCUCUCACCGAUCUUAGGAAAGCCACCAAUAACUUUGAUCAGAAGAGAGUAAUAGGAAGUGGAAUAUUUAGUGAAGUAUACAAAGGGUGUCUGCAGCAUGAUGGUGCUUCUGAUUACCCGGUCGCAAUAAAGCGAUUUCAUUAUCAAGGAUGGGAAGCGUUCAACAAGGAAAUCGAAUUGCUAUGCCAGCUUCGUCACCCUAGAUGUGUUUCUCUUAUAGGAUUCUGCAACCACCAAAAUGAGAAGAUUCUUGUAUACGAGUACAUGUCCAAUGGAUCUCUAGAUAAACACCUACAUGAUGGUGAACUAUCAUGGAAGAAGAGGCUAGAGAUCUGCAUAGGAGUAGCACGUGGACUACACUACCUUCACACUGGUGCCAAGCGUUCCAUCUUUCACUGUAUCCUCGGUCCUAGUACCAUCCUUUUGGAUGACCACAUGGAGCCAAAACUCGCUGGUUUCGGUGUUAGCGUGCAGGGAUCACGUUUUAUGUCAAAGCAGAAGCAAAUCAAUGUAGAUCAUAUUUUGGGUAAAUUUUGUUUUGUUGUAUGAGUUCACUCACUGCAAUGAAUUUUUGUGGAUCAAACUAAGCCAAUACUCUUUGUUGUAGGUACUUGGGGCUACCCGGCUACGGACUAUAUCAUGGAUGGUACCAUCACAGCUAAAUGGGAUGUUUUCACAUUUGGUUUCCUUCUACUAAAAGUUGUGUCCAGGGGGAUGUUUUAUUUAAUAAGCCUGACUGAAAAAGAAUGUCUGGAGAAUCCUGUUGAGGAGAGAAUUGAUCCGAUUAUCAAAGGAAAGAUUGCACCAGAUUGUUGGCAAUUGUUUGUAGAUAUGAUGGUAACUUGCUUGAAGUAUGAACCAGAUGAGAGACCAACAAUUGGUGAAGUGGAGGUGCAACUUGAGCAUGCUCUAUCAAUGCAGGA